GCAUAUUAAAUACGCAAAGAGGAGAGCGAGUUUCUGGAAACGUGUCAAGGAAAAUGAUCAGGAAAGAAGGAAGCCAAGGAGAAAGUCACCUGGGUUCAGCUGAAGCGCCAGCCUGCCUCGCCCAGAGAGCACACUGUGAGCCUCUCUGGAACCUGUCCCCUGCGGACUCAUGGUAGAUCUUAUCUAGAAGAUCGCUUCAUAUUAUUCCUGCGUCAGCCUCUGAUUCCUUCAGCCACUGUGUUCCACUCCUGGAGGUCUUGAUGGGCAGGAUCAUUUCUGUGACAGCCCAAACUAUCCUUCCUCCUGGGAGGUCCACGUCUGACCAAGAAGAGAAAAAAAUGCUUGAUCCGUCAAAUUCUGGAAGCACAGGCCCUUCCCAGGGUACACAAGCUUCUUCAUUCUGCAGGUCGGCAGGAUACUCUGACGUGUACAUGGCUGUAGAGGGAAGGAAAAGCCCACCCAUUGAACUGAAAUUCAGGACCUUUCAAAGCAUUGCCUGAACACUAAAAAACAAUAUUUUGGCUCCCCCUGGCUACUCACCAAAGUUCAUCGCCCUCCAAUCCACCUCUGAUUGGAAUGAUGCUGAUUUGAAAGAAGGAUCAGUCUAUGCCCCACCUAGAAUAACAUCCAGCUGAAGGCUCUCAUUGUCACCCUUUUCCCCAGCUCAGAGAAAGCAUGUGUGGAAGUAGGCGGAAUGUGCGGACUGUGAGUGAAGCACAAUUCUGCUGGAGCCCAGAGGCCAAGGCCGGAUGAAGCAGGGCUCAGGGUGGUGCGCACUCUGCAUUUGCCAAGGGUGCCAAAGGCUGCCUCUCUCUGGGAAGGGGGAGACGUGAGCGAACUGGGUUUGAGUUGCCCGCCUACCUCAAGGCUGCCGACACACAGUGGAAAGAUGUUCCACAGAGACACAAAAUGACCUUCUCCCAAUCAAAUCAAGUUAAAGAAACAAAAAAACCUGAUCCUUGCCUCUUCCUUCUAAACCAAAGCAAAGCCUCAGAAAAUAAGCAUCCCCUUCCUUUGACUUAUGUAUGUACUGAAUGAUUGAACAAAUCAACGUCAUUGCUGAUAAAACUUGUCCUUAAUGCCUACGAUGGAAAAGGAAAACACAGAUCUUUCUCUGUAAGAAGGAACAAGUAGCAAAAGAAAGGUCAUAUAUUUUAAAGCG
Molecule: long non-coding RNA, 1162 nt
Filed under: Fukomys damarensis (Damara mole-rat)
Lineage: Eukaryota; Metazoa; Chordata; Mammalia; Rodentia; Bathyergidae
Description: lncRNA (ENSFDAG00000021969.1)
Source: RNAcentral